AUUGAACGCUGGCGGCAGGCCUAACACAUGCAAGUCGAACGAGUGGCGGACGGGUGAGUAAUGUCUGGGAAACUGCCUGAUGGAGGGGGAUAACUACUGGAAACGGUAGCUAAUACCGCAUACCAUCGGAUGUGCCCAGAUGGGAUUGGCUAGUAGGUGGGGUAAAGGCUAACCUAGGCCACGAUCCCUAGCUGGUCUGAGAGGAAGACCAGCAACACUGGAACUGAGACACGGUCCAGACUCCUACGGGAGGAAGCAGUGGGUAAUAUUGCACAGUGGGCGCAAUCCUGAGGCAGCCAUGCCGCGUGUAUGAAGAAGGCCGUCGGGUUGUAAAGUACUUUCAGCGGGGAGGCGUUACCCGCAGAAGAAGCACCGGCUAACUCCGUGCCAGCAGCCGCGGUAAUUC
Molecule: ribosomal RNA, 406 nt
Filed under: uncultured bacterium
Lineage: Bacteria
Description: partial 16S ribosomal RNA
Rfam family: Bacterial small subunit ribosomal RNA
Source: RNAcentral